RNAcentral lists this long non-coding RNA (6017 nucleotides) under Equus caballus (horse). RNAcentral describes it as "lncRNA (ENSECAG00000060153.1)". The record is from RNAcentral. Lineage: Eukaryota; Metazoa; Chordata; Mammalia; Perissodactyla; Equidae.
AGCUACAGCAGUCGAAGCCAUAAUUCAUCCUACUAACACUCAUCUUGUGAGUUUUCCUGAGAAAGGAAACCAGCGAGAACCUGGAGCAACUGUUCCUCAAUGUGAUGAACUUGCCAUACGAAGCACAUGGAUCUGAGCAGCAUAAAGGACACAGGUCCAUCCAGAUCCCUUUCUAGAGGACACUCAUUCCCCCAGCUGACUGACCGGUUUGUGAGCUGCUGGGCCUCACAGCCCUAUUACCCUCUAGCUGCCAAAGGGAGCGUCCUGGUCCAACGUUUCUCCUGUCCGGUUCAAUGACGAGUUAAUACAGUAAACAAAGGGCCUGUCCCUCUCACCUCAGUUCAGAGGUGCCCCCUCCACAUCUCGGUUCCAGAGUCCCCGCUGCCUCGGUCAGGUCUCCGGUGCAGAUGCACCACAGUUUGGCAAGCUCUCCCUCUUCCCAGUCGUGCCUCCCCCAGUCCUGGAGUCAUUCCCGAAAGCACUCUCCCAUUAACUUCCUACCCACGAAUCUUUCUCUAUGAGUCUGUGCCCAGAAAACCCAACCUGAUACAGGAGGAUAUUCUUAACAGCCACAGCUGAUGGCACAGUGGGUUCAGGUGCCAGAUGGAACACAUCAAAGACCAGGUGGGAGAGGAAGAGGUGGAAUACAAUUCCGCUAAAUAAAAGGAAAGAAGCAGAGCAGCAGCUGGAGGACAAAGUUCUUCCACGUCCUCAUUUGUAAAGCAGGGUUAAUAAUGGUGCUCUGCCUCGACGAUAUUCUAUCCUUUUGCUAUGGAUCAGGAGGAUAACGUCGCUCUACCUCAUAGGGUAUGUUUUGAUUAAUCAUCGUCUUACCAAUAUAGAAAACUGGAGUACAGAAACAUUAUGACUUGUCCCAAACCGUAGACAUAUUAGCGAUUAAAACCAGGAUACAAACUCAGGCAGAUCCAACUCUAGAGUCUGCGCUGACCCGCCACUCUGCACCAUGGCUUCAGACAGGACUGACCCAAUGACGUGCUGGAGCUGACUCGCAAGAGCCCAUGAGCACAUCUCUUUCCAACCGUUGUUCUGUGAUGUCAUACAGGUAGCUUGAAAUGAGCCAUGGUGGAAGUCUUUACAUCACAGAAAUCAACCAAUAUUACGAAUCAGGAUUUUUUUUUUCUUUUACAGAAAGCUGUUUGUUAAACAUUUAUCAGAAUAUUAUUGGAUUUGCCUCAAAAGGAGGGACAUUGUCUCAACUGUAAUAGGAAGGAAUAAAGAAAAGAUGCAUCCAAGUUCACAAAAGAUGUGUAGAUACAGUGGUAGGACACCAAGGAGACUCCUGGUUUGUCUGCAAGGAAGAUGGCAAGGUCGUCUACAGAGAGUGAGGGGACAGGUGCAGAGUCAGGUGUUUGUGGGGAAGACCGUCACCACUCUGUGUAAUUCCUGCAGUAAUAAGGAUUUCUUGCCUCGUGGAUAUUACUAUCAUAGGUACCCUUGACCGUUCAUAGUCUGACCGUAACUAUUAAACAGCCUACAAUUCUUGUUAAAGAGUGUGAGGUAGUUAUUCUCAACAAGUUCUUUUUUUUCUUUUUACAAGUACAGAAUUAAAGAACUCCUUCAAUUUAAUAUAAACUCUCUAAUCAAAUGGAUCCUAUUAGAUUUAAAAUUUUCAUACCCUAAAUGGCACAAUAUAAAUAGCCUUCCUCUGGAAUUUUACCAAGCCUUGUUUCAGUCCAGGGGCCCUGCAAGUUACUCUGUAUAAUAUUUUAACAUCAAUGACUCUGAGAAGUGUGUGUGUCUGUAUACUUUUGUUGCCCUGUAUUUCUUUCCUUUUAAUAAUUAGCCGUAAGAUCCUUAAAAUGAAGGAGGUGCUCUGCGUUUCACAGUGUGGUGAAAAAGGAAACAGAAGAGAGGGUGGGAUAUGGGGAGACCACGACUCCCUGACAAGCACAGGGUGAGGGAAGAGAAGCCGCAGGGCAGAUGGAAGAAAGAAUUCAGCAGAAGUUUAACCCCUGCGAUCGGACAUCAGAAAGAGUAAAGAGAUGCCACAGCUGACCGAGUAGUGGCCUGGGGGCUCGGCAGGCAGUGGCCAAAGAAUGGAGGCUUCUAAGGGCUGAGGUGGCAUGUCGUCAACGUAGGAAAUAAUUGUACUACUCACAUGGCUUGUCAGAGAGAGUAAAAAGAAAACGAAACUUUGCAAGUCUAUGAUGUCAUCUAUGAUCACUUUUGAAAAGAACUCAGUGUUUAAAGGUUGUAUUUUAGACACAUGAGGGUGAAAAAUAGUUUGUACUUACGUAUGCUGUUCCUACUAGCUUGAGGGAGCGAGCGGCAAUUCUCAGGAAAGGAGAAUCUUUAUGUAGUUCUUAAUCUUGGAACACUUUAUCAACGCUUUCUAUAACCUCGUAAGCUAAGAAGGGCUUAUUGGCUUAGCAUCAGCUUCAUAAUUAUAAUUCAGAGCAGAAUUUAGCACAGAGGGGAGAAAAAAUAAGCUUUGUCGUCAUAGGACUGAGUUAUUCCUAAGGUCUCCUCCACCUACAAGUGUAGCACAUAUCUGAGGGUUUAAAAUUCUUUUUUCCAGACAGUUCUUUUAGGAGAAGGAAAGACUGUGCUUUAAUGAUUAUAGUAGCUGUUUUUAUGGUUUGUUAAAUAACUAGUCAGAUUCACAAACAGGAUGCAUUCUGAAAAGGCAGCUUCCAUCCCCACAGUAUUACUGCUGCGUUUUAUAACUGUUCACAGUACCAAGUCUACAGACAUUUGCUGGUGAAACGACGUGGCAAAAGGCAGGGCACAAAUCUGGUGGAAAGAAAUGUCAAGUAUGUAAGUAAAAUUGAGAGAUGAGAGGGAGCUUAAAAGAAAACAAUCCUAACAGAACAACGGCACAAAUUUAACCAGACAACUGGCGGGUCAAGUCAAGAGCAUUGCUGAACAUUUCAUUCUGCUGCACCUCACAUUCACUUUCUAUGCAGCGCCUUUUCAACGUAGGGUAUUCACUCCUUCGGUGAGGAUUGACCAGGCCCUUUCCUUGGGCCAGUCACAAGUGUGCUGAGCUCUGUGGCUGCAGCACACAAAUGGGAGACACGGUCAGAUAAAGAGAGAACUUCAACACAAGUAGAAACACGGUGUUCCAUUCCAGUGCAAUUGAGCUCCCAUCACAGAUAGGGUGUGAAGUCAGCGAACCAGCCUGGGUGUGCCCCAUAAUCACCUCCACAAACGGGGAUAAUGACACACACUGGCCCAUCUCAUUCAGCUCAAAUGCGUAACUUCUAAGUCUUCAACCAGAGCGUUAGGAGUCAGUGUGCAGCUUGAUGCUUAAUGCUGUGACAACAUGGCCAAACUGCAUGGAGAAAAGGAGAAUUCCUUUGACCUGACGCACAGCUGCAGCCCAGAGGAGCACAGCUUUUCGCAUGGGCCUGCUCCUCCCUUCCUCCCCCGCCUCUCAGCCUUCUUCUCCCCUCACCCUGUGAACUCACCUGGUCUUGUUAGGGGUGGGUGGGACAAGCUUGCAUCCAUUGGCCUCUGCUCUAGAUUGCUUCCGGCUGAUUGCCUGCAUGCUGUGUCCGAUGUGAGUCCUCAGGAGGAGCUGUCUGCACAGCAUAAGGACUGAAUCCUCCAGCCGCUGAGGUUUGGCCUCAGAGAGUCUGUGGUGGACCGUUUUUUAGCUGACUUUAGUCAAUCAAUUGCUUCACCCAACUCACAGCCUGUUAAUUCUCCAGAAGUUCAAAACAAUGUGCUUUCCUCCAAUCUCACCCACUGUACCUACAAACCUCUAUUGUACCCACAAGCCUCUACUGCACCUGCCAGCCUCUUCCCUGAGGUCCCGCCUCCCUGUCCUGCCUCACUCUCCUCACCUUCUUGCACAUGCUUCCCCAGUUUCAUCCAUUCAUUCAGCUUCCCUUCUUAUCCUGACAUACCACAGGUGUUCCUGCAUCCCUAUGGUUGUUUAGGAAUGAAGCAUGACUCAGCACACCUUCAAGAUCCUUCCACGCCAAGCUGAAGCCACCUCACCUGAGAAGUCCACCCUGAUGAUCCCCAGACCUAUUACUCUCUUCCAGAGCUUACUGGUUAGGGAGAACAGGUUCCAUCUGGCUUCAAAUCCUGACUUGGCCUCUAUAUGACCUUAAGAAGAUUGCCAACCAGUUUGUCUCCAUUUGCUUAUCUGAAAAACAGAGAUGUUUUCACUUACCUUAUGGGGUCGCUCUAAGUAUUAAAUGAGAUCAAUUAAGCAAAGUGCUGUGAGCAGUGCCUGGGGUCCUGCAUGCACGGUUUAGUCAGAGGGCCGAUGAGCUGACUUCCACGUGCUGCCUUGGUGGAGAAGCGGGUUGGCCCUGUCCAGCCUCUUAUAGUUAAUUCUCCUGAAAAGGCCUGAUGGAUGAUCUCAAGCCUGUAGUCAUGAAGAGGCCACUACUUUGAGCCUGCAGACCCUGUCAAGAAACCUAGUCAUCUGGACACUGGAUUCUUAAAGUCCGGAUUGACAGAUUCCUUCAGGUUAUUGGCUCUGAUGGAAACUUGGCCUGAAUCAAGACUUCCUGGUGCCCAGGUGGCUCCAGCGUCAACUAGGCAGGUUUCUAGCUGGCCGUGCUGCAACCACGUUACACUUCCACACCUGCCGUCCUGUUGUGUCUGUUCAUUUUACGCUGAGGAACCUGACAUCUAGUAAGAGACAAACAUUAAACAUCAACCUAGUAGCAGAGCCGUGAGAGACUCUGGACUCAUGAUGGCUUCUGAGGACUCUACCCCCUUCCCUGACUAACUCCAGCAGACAGACCUCCUCAAGAAAACCGUCCACGUCUUAGACUACCUGGUCUGAACAAGAACAAACUGUCUGGAAAGGAGGCACCUGCUGACCCUGCAGGUGCGCACCAUCCGAUUCCUCGUGUCGGUGAUUCUGACCAACUGCUGGCUGUUGGGUCCCCUGAAUCCACAGCAAACACACUCACUCAUGGCUUAAUCUCCUCCUGCACCAUCUAACUUGCCCACGGGGUCUUUAGUUCUCCUUCUGACAGAGAACCAUUUCACAUCUUAAAACCACUGAGUCAUCAAAAUAAAGUAAAACAGGAAGAACCUGGCAGGCCACAGAGUUGUGUGUCACGGAUGGGACCAGUUUCAAUAACAGUGGUCAACUCAAGGGGCAAGCCCGAUGUCGGGACCCAGACGUGACAGGGAGUAGUGACACCAGGAAGCCGGGCGAAAUGACAGAGGGAACCUGGCAGGAGCCACCAGGAGCCUGUGUCAGCCUGCGCUUCUCCCUGUCAACGCCCACCUCCAGCACCACGGCCUCCCUGCAAGUCCCAGAAAACACGUUUGUCUAGAGCUGAGUUCAGACACAGAAUAGGGUGAAGAAAAUUCCAAUGUAAAACCUAGGAUUGAAAAGAAAAAACACCAGGCGGACUGCGUUCUAUAGUUAUACCCGUGACGCCAUCUUGUUUGUCUUCAGUGGUGUCUUUUUUUGCAGGGGGGAGGUUGCUUUUGGGGAUUUUUGCUGAAAAUAACAGAAACUCCAAUUAAGACUGGGUUAAACAGUAAGAAAUGUUUUAUGUUACCAAAGGAAAAGUCUAGAAAUUGAUUCAGCAGCCUGGUGUUGUCAACAAGAUACUAGCUCUUUCCAUUUCUCUGCUCUCUGGCCUUGCUCUCCCUUCUCUCCAAGGCGAGUCCACCUCAAGGUCUUGGCUGGUAGCAGUGGGGCAGUGGCCUCCUCAACCACACCACCAUAGGAGACAAAGAGGACGUCUCCCCCACUGGAGAAGAGAAGAUGCUCAUUCUGUGGAGUUGAGCAAACCUGAGACACACGCGUCAAGAAGGCCAUUAGGUGGAUUCUGUGUGCGCAUCCUCAUCCAGACUCGUCAGGACCUGGGCUGAGGGUUUGGGAUGGAGAAGAUAUGUGAAAAAAGAUACAUGAAAAACAGAAGAGGGGGAAAGGGGAAAACAGAAGCUACAUGGGAAGAUCUGGCCCUCCACAUCCCAUCAGAAAAUCUGUAGUGAGAGUAACAGGCACAGAUUUGCACUGACUUUCCAAUCCAGUGCAUCCUAUCCAUUCAUUUCUAUAUAAAGUAUUGUAA